UGGCGGCACGCCUAACACAUGCAAGUCGAACGCAGUAGCAAUACUGAGUGGCAAACGGGUGAGUAUAAUGUGGGAAUCUACCUUUCGGUUGGGGAUAACUUCUGGAAACGGGAGCUAAUACCCAAUAUGCUGUGGAGUGAAAGAAUUUCGCCGAAAGACGAUCUUGCGUCUGAUUAGCUAGUUGGGGUGGUAAUGGCACACCAAGGCGACGAUCAGUAGCUGGUCUGAGAGGAUGAUCAGCCACACUGGGACUGAGAUACGGCCCAGACUCC
This 272-nucleotide ribosomal RNA is filed under the name uncultured bacterium. RNAcentral's name for it is "partial 16S ribosomal RNA". It matches the Rfam family "Bacterial small subunit ribosomal RNA", at positions 37 to 339 of the family's 1533-position model. The record is from RNAcentral.